CAUUUUGUUAAUAUAUAUUGCAUGUUUAAUUGAAAAAUAAAUUAAGGCAAUUUUGCAGAUUAUGGAACUAUUUUUUCAUUCGAAAUGAAAGUUUGUUUAUAGUUCCAGUUCUAGUGGUGCAUCUAGUUUUAGUCCGUACGAUUUUUUGAAUAUUAUUUAAUUAAAUAUUAAUAAACGAUUCGCCUAUCACAGAUGCUGAUUGUUGACAGUUAACGUUCAACGUUCGCGGUCCGCCUUAGCUGAACUAAGACCCUGGAUUCGCCCCUGUCCCCCAGCAUCUCUUAUUCAAGAGGUUUGUAUAGUCAGAAAGAGUAAUUUAUGUGUUGUCAUUCUUCGUCUCUCUGUCGAAUAUUUCUCAGUUUGUUCAUUGCAUACAAUAUGUUUUGAACUGAUCAAAUUGAAUAUGAUAAAAUCUCUGAUGGAUUCCAAGUCUAUCUUGGAUCCAAGAAGGGAAAAUAGGCCGAUUUCACCUAUAUUUAGUCCAGAUUAAAUGGCAGCCAAAGUUUGAUUGUCUUUAAAGCCUUUCCAGUUCAGUUUAAAUGUGAUUAGCACUGUUUUAUACACAUUCUAUAUAUCACAGCAGAGGUGCCAGAAAAAAAACUUUUUAUUCUUCUUUUUUGUCACAUUGGAAGUGAAUCAUUAUGAUAUGUGGGUUUGAUUUGAAAGGUUUACAAUUUCUUAAUCAUUAUGUGUUGCAAGCAGGAUAUGGAAUUGGCCAAGAUGUUGAUUAGACCAAAUUAAGUUUUCACUGACGACUUGAGCAAGAAUCUUUGUUAAUUGAAGAAAAACAUGGUGCAACUAGACGGCAGUAGAGGAAGAUUUCCAGAGGUACAUGAUUGAGAGGAGGCCUCCGAAUGAAGUUAAAUCCAUUCAGGGAACUGGUCACAUGGUCAUGUUAUCAAAUACUCAUGAACUCUGCCUUUUGUCAAUUUGUCGGAAGGAAGUAGUAGAAAAGUAUCACUCGUACCACCUCAAGUUUCGAGGUGGCCUCACCUUAUUGGGUGAGGCUAGACUAUCCGAUGAGGUGACAACUCCUCAUUGGAUGGCAGUACCAUGUAGGAGGGCGCGAUGUCCUAGCCACUACGAGUCUAUUCCAUGUAUCCAGGCUUUGUUUAGAAAAAAAAACCCAAUUGGUAAUAAAUCUAUGAUCACUACUUGUAUCAUAAAUGAUUCCUGUUUGGUAUUUGUAAAGAGAUCUUAUUUGUCAAGUAUCUCUCGUGGAUAGGCACUCACCAUAAUUUUAGAAUGAUAUUUUUAUGGAUAAGAUAGGACUAUCUCUUAUCAUUAAUCAACAAAGAAUA
This 1301-nucleotide long non-coding RNA is filed under the name Olea europaea subsp. europaea. The record is from RNAcentral. Lineage: Eukaryota; Viridiplantae; Streptophyta; Magnoliopsida; Lamiales; Oleaceae.